RNAcentral lists this ribosomal RNA (547 nucleotides) under Papilloculiceps longiceps (tentacled flathead). RNAcentral's name for it is "partial 16S ribosomal RNA". It matches the Rfam family "Bacterial large subunit ribosomal RNA", at positions 1851 to 2572 of the family's 2925-position model. The record is from RNAcentral. Lineage: Eukaryota; Metazoa; Chordata; Actinopteri; Perciformes; Platycephalidae.
GGCCCCGCCUGCCCAGUGACUAUAUGUUCAACGGCCGCGGUAUUCUGACCGUGCAAAGGUAGCGCAAUAACUUGUCCUUUAAAUGGGGACUAGUAUGAAUGGCAUCACGAGGGCUUAUCUGUCUCCUUUUUUAAGUCAAUGAAAUUGAUCUUCCCGUGCAAAAGCGGGAAUACUCACAUAAGACGAGAAGACCCUGUGGAGCUUUAGACACCAAGACAGAUUACGUUAAAAAUGCCUCAACUUAAAGGCCUGAACUAAACAAUACCUGCUCUGAUGUCUUUGGUUGGGGCGACCGCGGAGAAUAAAGAAUCCUCCCCUCCGCGUGGAAUGGGAGCAUCAGCUUUAACUUAAAGCUCCCACAACCGAGAGCCACAGCUCUAACUACCAGAACUUUCUGACCAUCAUUGAUCCGGUAAUUAACCGAUCAACGAACCGAGUUACCCCAGGGAUAACAGCGCAAUCCCCUUUUAGAGUCCAUAUCGACAAGGGGGUUUACGACCUCGAUGUUGGAUCAGGACAUCCUAAUGGUGCAACCGCUAUUAAGGGU